UACGGAAGGCAGCAGUGGGGAAUAUUGCACAAUGGGCGAAAGCCUGAUGCAGCUAUGCCGCGUGUAUGAAGAAGGCCUUAGGGUUGUAAAGUACUUUCAUCGGGGAGGAAAAACAAAACUAAUAAUUUUAUUUCUUGAUGUUAACCGAAAAGAAGCACCGGCUAACUCCGUGCCAGCAGCCGCGGUAAUACGGAGGGUGCUAGCGUUAAUCAGAAUUACUGGGCGUAAAGAGCACGUAGGUGGUUUUUUAAGUUCAGAUGUGAAAUCCCUGGGCUUAACCUAGGAACUGCAUUUUGAAACUGAAAUACUAGAGUAUCGUAGAGGGAGGUAGAAUUCUAGGUGUAGCGGUGAAAUGCGUAGAUAUCUGGAGGAAUACCUGUGGCGAAAGCGGCCUCCUAAACGAAUACUGACACUGAGGUGCGAAAGCGUGGGGAGCAAACAGGGAUUAGAUACC
This 454-nucleotide ribosomal RNA is filed under the name uncultured bacterium. RNAcentral describes it as "bacterial SSU rRNA". It matches the Rfam family "Bacterial small subunit ribosomal RNA", at positions 340 to 786 of the family's 1533-position model. The record is from RNAcentral.